UGAGGGAUGUUAUUGUCCUCCACUGAGGGAUGUUAUUGUCGUCCACAGAGGGAUGUUAUUGUCGUCCACUGAGGGAUGUUAUUGUCGUCCACUGAGGGAUGUUAUUGUCGUCCACUGAGGGAUGUUAUUGUCGUCCACUGAGGGAUGUUAUUGUCCUAUACUGAGGGAUGUUAUUGUCGUCCACUGAGGGAUGUUAUUGUCCUCCACUGAGGGAUGGUUAUUGUCCUCCACUGAGGGAUGUUAUUGUCCUCCAUUUAGGGAUGUUAUUGUCGUCCACUGAGGGAUGUUAUUGUCGUCCACUGAGGGAUGUUAUUGUCGUCCACUGAGGGAUGUUAUUGUCGUCCACUGAGGGAUGGUUAUUGUCCUCCACUGAGGGAUGUUAUUGUCCUCCAUUGAGGGAUGUUAUUGUCUUCCAAUGAGGGAUGUUAUUGUCCUCCACAGAGGGAUGUUAUUGUUCUCCACUGAGGGAUGUUAUUGUCCUCCACUGAGGGAUGUUAUUGUCGUCCACUGAGGGAUGUUAUUGUCGUCCACUGAGGGAUGUUAUUGUCCUCCGCUGAGGGAUGGUUAUUGUCCUCCACUGAGGGAUGGUUAUUGUCCUCCACUGAGGGAUGUUAUUGUCGUCCACUGAGGGAUGUUAUUGUCGUCCACUGAGGGAUGUUAUUGUCCUCCACUGAGGGAUGUUAUUGUCGUCCACUAAGGGAUGUUAUUGUUCUGUUUUAUUGACCAGUGCUACUGUGUCUCCACUCCAUAUUGACCCCGUUGAUGUUGGGACUGGUCUGAAAAUCUAAUGGGAAGGUACAGAAGGUACAAUUUAACACUUUAACAGUACACUUUUCACUACAGCUGUACGAUACCUUGCUGUAGGGGAGAUAAAAAUACCAAUAAGAUUCCUUACUGUAGGUAGAGAUAAAUAACUCCCUAGAAAAAUCCAUAAAAAACUUAAAUUUGAGAUGUUGAAUACAUGCCAGAAAAAUAUUUCUCUCUCUGUAAAGAAGAUACAAGUUUCAUUUCACUGCUUGUAAACGAGAUACACAUUUUAUUUUAAAAUACACAUAUUUCCCUCCCAGUGUAAACAAGAUACCAACUUGAUUGACGCCACUGCUAUUACUCAGUGCCACUAUGGUGGAGUAAGUACCUGAUAGUAUCCAGCUUUGUAGGAUACAGAUUGUGGAGAUGUUUGCCCUGAUGAUAUAGAGUGGUUUUGAAGGGAAAUUCAAUAUUACAUUAAUGAUUAGUGACAAAUACUGAUGGCUGCUGUCACUGACACAUGUGCAUUUUACCUGAGGGGGCUCAAGACUGUUUUACCUGAGGGGGCGUGGUGCUGUUUUACCUGAGGGAGCGUGGUGCUGUUUUACCUGAGGGGUAGUGGGCUUCAGGAACCAAGAAGAAGCUGAAGAAUAUUAAUCAUGUUCUGAGGAGAAACAGGAGAAACCUCGAUACACAAGUUGGAAACUGACUAGGAAACUUCAGAAGGUCUUAUAGUACAUCUCCAGAUUUGCUGGCUGUUGACAUCACUCCAGAAAAUUCUCAGCACUAUCAGCCAAGGAAGAGUUUUACUGUAUUGCCAAAACCAGCAGUAAUUGCUCCUGUCUCUCAGAGUGGCUUUUUGUUAUGCAAAUCACAUAAUCGUGAUGUAAAUUCCUACUGACAAGAUUGUUGUAGAAUGGGAUUGGCAUUGCAUAGUGGUCUCCACAUAGGCACAGUAUGGCAGACAACAGUACAGCAUUCCUGUAGGCACAAUUACAACAGGCGUUAACUCCACUCUUCAAUAGGCUCCAGUAACGCCAAUCAAACUUAUAAGUAUUCAAAUAGAUUUAACAAAGGCAAGUGGUAUUACAUGUAGCUAUACAUCCAUAGACAACAUGCAUUUGUCAUUGCAGAAUGGAUGAGAAAUAGGUCAACAAAGAUCAAUUGUCAGGCAAAGAAAGUCCAACAUCUCAUUCAGACAGUAAGAGUUUUGGUAAUAUGGAUUAAUAUGGCUGUAGUUUCUAGAGAAGUAUUAAGAUAUUCAGCAUCCCAAUGUGUCCCUGGAGUGACAGUGUCUUGAUAGAUAACAUCAUUCUGACACUUGUUCAGUGCCCUAAGCCUGCCAGCUGUACAAUGUCUGUAGUAAUGGACCAGAUGACUGCCUCAUAAACUCAUUCUUUACCAUGGUCAUUUAAUUGUAAUGAUGCCGGCCUAAUGUACCUUUUACUGUAGUGUGAUCGGACAAACAACAGUGUCAUGAUAGACAAACAACAGUCAACAGUGUCAAGAUAGACAAACAACAGUCUACAGUGUCAGGAUAGACAAACACGGUCAACAGUGUCAGGAUAUACAAACAACAGUCUACAGUGUCAGGAUAGACAAACAACAGUCAACAGUGUCAAGAUACACAAACAACAGUAUACAGUGUCAAGAUAGACAAACAACAGUCAACAGUGUCAGGAUAGACAAACAACAGUAUACAGUGUCAGGAUACACAAACAACAGUCUACAGUGUCAGGAUACACAAACAACAGUGUCAUGAUAGACAAACAACAGUCAACAUUGUCUAGAUACACAAACAACAGUCUACAGUGUCAAGAUAGACAAACAACAGUCAACAGUGUCAGGAUACACAAACAACAGUCUACAGUGUCAGGAUACACAAACAACAGUCUACAGUGUCAGUAUAGACAAACAACAGUCAACAGUGUCAGGAUAGACAAACAACAGUCUAGAAAAACAGGAAUUAGCAAGUUGUGACAAGUAAACAAAACUCUACUGUGUUAUGGUAAUGGCCCAGUCACAGUGCUAAGUUUCCUGACCGACCUUUGAUAUUGUUAUAUGGUAAGAGCCCAGUCACAGUGCUAAGUUUCCUGACCGACCUUUGAUACUGUUAUAUGUUAAUGGCCCAGUCACAGUGCUAAGUUUCCUGACCGACCUUUGAUACUGUGUUAUGGUAAGGGCCCAGUCACAGUGCUAAGUUUCCUGACCGACCUUUGAUAUUGUUAUAUGGUAAGAGCCCAGUCACAGUGCUAAGUUUCCUGACCGACCUUUGAUACUGUUAUAUGGUAAUGGCCCAGUCACAGUGCUAAGUUUCCUGACCGACCUUUGAUACUGUUAUAUGGUAAUGGCCCAGUCACAGUGCUAAGUUUCCUGACCGACCUUUGAUACUGUUAUAUGGUAAUGGCCCAGUCACAGUGCUAAGUUUCCUGACCGACCUUUGAUACUGUUAUAUGGUAAGGGCCCAGUCACAAUGCUAAGUUUCCUGACCGACCUUUGAUACUGUUAUAUGGUAAGGGCCCAGUCACAGUGCUAAGUUUCCUGACCGACUUUUGAUACUGUUAUAUGGUAAUGGCCCAGUCACAGUGCUAAGUUUCCUGACCGACUUUUGAUACUGUUAUAUGGUAAUGGCUCAGUCACAAUGCUAAGUUUCCUGACCGACCUUUGAUACUGUUAUAUGGUAAUGGCCCAGUCACAGUGCUAAGUUUCCUGUGCUAAGUUUCCUGACCGACCUUUGAUACUGUUAUAUGUUAAUGGCCCAGUCACAGUGCUAAGUUUCCUGACCGACCUUUGAUACUGUGUUAUGGUAAGGGCCCAGUCACAGUGCUAAGUUUCCUGACCGACCUUUGAUACUGUUAUAUGGUAAUGGCUCAGUCACAGUGCUAAGUUUCCUGACCGACUUUUGAUACUGUUAUAUGGUAAUGGCUCAGUCACAGUGCUAAGUUUCCUGACCGACCUUUGAUACUGUGUUAUGGUAAGGGCCCGUGCUAAGUUUCCUGACCGACUUUUGAUACUGUUAUAUGGUAAUGGCUCAGUCACAGUGCUAUAACCACUGUGUGAUCACCCUAGGUCUGACACAGUCCUAUUGAUAAGGAACUGAUUGAUAUUUGAACAGUUUAUGUAUGACAUCUGAUAUGGAAUAAAAGUCUGCAAAUAAAACUGGAUUACUGGAAA
Molecule: long non-coding RNA, 3921 nt
Organism: Pecten maximus
Lineage: Eukaryota; Metazoa; Mollusca; Bivalvia; Pectinida; Pectinidae
Exons: 2
Source: RefSeq, a predicted model, not a curated record